RNAcentral lists this long non-coding RNA (2011 nucleotides) under Hordeum vulgare. Its description in RNAcentral is "long non-coding RNA (HVUL_LNC011376)". The record is from RNAcentral. Lineage: Eukaryota; Viridiplantae; Streptophyta; Magnoliopsida; Poales; Poaceae.
AGGUAGAAAAAGAUCAUAGUAACAGAAAUGACACAAGUCAUGCAAAGAGAGGAGAGUAUACCACAAUAACAGGAACAAGGCUUAUCAGAAAACUAAAGGAUAGUAGGCAAAUAUUAUGUGAACAUGUGAACUAUACAAAAACAUAUCUAGAGCAGAAACUAGACCAAGAAACUCUAGCAGGACCUCGUACAGAAAAGUCACGAACACGUAUGAAGCAGUGACAGUAGCAUUAGCGCUAGCGUUGGUGUUGACGUCGCCCAUGUCGUCGAACAGGUUGAUGACAUCGGGGAAGAAGUCGUUGAGGGAGUCCAGGACUAAGGGGUCCUUGGGCCGCUUACCUUUUUCAAUAGGCGGGACUCCUGGGUCGUUCUAUCAUCAUUAUUAGGUUCCGGGGAAGUAAAGUGAGGGUGUAUUCAAGAUGGACUCUUCCAAAGAAUUGGCAUAUACUCCAUGGUCACGUGGUGAUCGGCAUGUUCCCUCCUUGGUGAGUAACCAACAUUGUGUAACCUAGAACUCUUGGUAUCUAUAUAAACUAGAGGGCUUUAGUUCAUAGGAUUGAUUAAAAAAAUUGGCCUUUACUUGCCUAGGCACCUCAUACAGGGCCAGGGUGAGCAUCUACAAACCGGAACACUAAAAUCGUCCGCGCAUACAGUCCGGCCCGAAAAGAAGAGAGAAGGAAAGAAGCCACCUAACCAGGCCCACAUUUUGUCUCUAUAUAACCAUGAUAUCCAAAAAUCCUCAUAUCCAUAUUAAAUAUGAAGACCAUACGUGGAUGUCUAGGCAGCCCUCCAUUUAUGAUGUCGCCCACCCCGAACCAUUUUUUCUCUUAUUCUUAUUCUUUUCAUAUUCUCUCACUUUCUCUUUGUACCUACCAACCAUGUGCAUUUGAUUAGACAAUUUAGGAAGGAAAUAGGGGACAUGGUUGCAUGUAUGCAUAAAAUAAACGUUUGAAAGGGACAUGACCUGUUGCCCGGACGUGACCGCGGCCAUUUUAGGCCUCAUUUUUUAUGUUCGCAGUUGUAGAUGCUCUUAUAGAGUUCGAACCGGAUCUUCUCAGACACGUAUGCCCUAUUAUGUUACCCAAAACAAUCCAUUUGACCAAUCUUUUAUAUGAUAUUGAUGACGAAGAAAUCUGCAGGGGCACAUAUUGUACGGAAGCACACUUGAUAGCAUUUUAGCACGAACUACAAGCAUGGAUAAUUAGUACGCUCAAGCGUUGCAACCAACAGUAAUGGUAUAGUACGUCGUCUUCGCCAAUAAAGCCAUUGUAACAGUGAUAGUAUUUGACGCAAUUAACAUAUGUAGCAGAAACUUUUGGCCACACAAAUUUUUUUCAACCGAAGAAAAACAUGAUUUUUCAUGCAGCUAGUCGCUGAGAAGCAUCUAUCGAUUUCACCGUGGGCGUACAAAAGAUUCUUCAGGUGGUCUCGCAUGGAUGGUUCUGUGGCGACAAUAUAGCGUUGACAUGAGGCGGAUGCAUUUCCUUAUAUGCAGAAUUGAUUGUCUAGAAAAUGGAAGUAUAUAUAUGCCUAAAAUGCUUUUGCUAAAACUGAUGUGAAUGGUAGACACAUAUAUGUGCACGCACCGCACACCACCAUCAUACUAGUAGUGGUUCUUAGCAGUGGAUAUCUAUCAACCGGUCAAGCCUGAAUGAUCCUCAUUGUUUGGACUUCGACGUGUGUGCAAAACACAAUUCGAGUGUGAGUUAAUCACGUUGUCCUGUAUACAUAGGAUUAGGAAAAAAGCCAAACCGUGUCCUAGUAGUAUAAGGAUACCUAGUCUUAGUCUAUUUUCAUAGUCCCUUGUGAAUGUGUAUAAAAGGCACCCUAGGGGUGGUGCUCGUAACACCAGAUAAUCUAGUAAAGCAAUACAAAGUAUUACGACAGACUCGACACGAGCCUGUGGCCAUCAACUAUUCAGUGCCUUCGCGUUUUUACGUUCUUGUUGAGAGAGCCGAGUUGAUCCGUUGCCGCAUGAUUGAUCCAAUCAACCGAAGCUAGCCGCCUGAAGC